RNAcentral lists this long non-coding RNA (287 nucleotides) under Gossypium raimondii (Peruvian cotton). RNAcentral's name for it is "long non-coding RNA (GRAI_LNC004765)". Lineage: Eukaryota; Viridiplantae; Streptophyta; Magnoliopsida; Malvales; Malvaceae. The record is from RNAcentral.
UCAGUGUAGGUAGAGGUCUUUGGUUUGAAUUUUUGCAAGGGUGUGGGGUGAUUUUAUUUUGUUUGUCUUAGAUCAACUGUCAAGUUGGUGGUGUUGGUGUGGGUUUUAAACUCUUAAAAGAUGGUUGGUUAUCAAAGGAUUUCAUUUUUAUCAUAUUCUUUUACUUUUUUAAAAAUAACCCCAACAAAAAUCUAUUUCCCACUUUUUGUUGCACGUUUAGUUAUAUGUUCUUUUUCUAUUUUUUUCCUUUUUUUCUCUCUUUAUUUUUCUUUCUCUUUUGCUUUUUG